RNAcentral lists this unclassified non-coding RNA (253 nucleotides) under plant metagenome. RNAcentral's name for it is "partial contains small subunit ribosomal RNA, internal transcribed spacer 1, and 5.8S ribosomal RNA". The stretch from base 205 to 253 matches the Rfam family "5.8S ribosomal RNA", at positions 1 to 49 of the family's 154-position model. The record is from RNAcentral.
UUUCCGUAGGUGAACCUGCGGAAGGAUCAUUAUUGGAUUUUGAAACUUCAGGCUGCUGCUGGCUCUCCUCGGAGGGCAUGUGCACGCUUGUUGUCCAUUAUUUCUCCCACUGUGCACAAAUUGUAGACCUUUCAGUAGGCCUAUGUUGUUUUUCACAAUCUCUGAAUGUAAUAGAAUGGUUUUGAAUCUUGGGAAAUACAAUACAACUUUCAGCAACGGAUCUCUUGGCUCCCGCAUCGAUAAAGAACGCAGC